Small nucleolar RNA from Oncorhynchus kisutch (coho salmon), 305 nucleotides. NCBI's taxonomy places the organism in Eukaryota, Metazoa, Chordata, Actinopteri, Salmoniformes, Salmonidae. The record is from Ensembl.
GCCCAAUGAUGAGACCAAGGCGAAUGCGAGCCAACUGAACGAGAGUGUUGGGUUCUCCUUUGUCUUGAUUGGCCGGUAAUCUUGGCAGUGUAGCGAAGAUUGGCUGCUCUGCUGUAAGGGCCGGCCUACAGUGACUUGGCCCCACCCACAUGUUUCUCCCGUUAAAGAAACACGGUAGAGAAUAGUGGGAGGGUGCUGACAGUGUGACUGAUGUGUGUUUGUCUGUAUGUAUGAGGCAGGGAGAACCCCACCUCUCCUCAAUAUUCAGUUGUCCAUGAGCGCUCUUCUUUGGUAAUCUGAGGGCU